RNAcentral lists this unclassified non-coding RNA (433 nucleotides) under soil metagenome. RNAcentral describes it as "partial contains 5.8S ribosomal RNA, internal transcribed spacer 2, and large subunit ribosomal RNA". The stretch from base 1 to 120 matches the Rfam family "5.8S ribosomal RNA", at positions 35 to 154 of the family's 154-position model. The record is from RNAcentral.
GAUGAAGAACGUAGCGAAAUGCGAUACGUAAUGUGAAUUGCAGAAUUCAGUGAAUCAUCGAAUCUUUGAACGCAUAUUGCGCUCUCUGGUAUUCCGGAGAGCAUGCUUGUUUGAGUAUCAGUAAACACCUGAACUUCCAUAUCUUUUUUGAAAUGGGAGUUGGACUUGAGUGAUCCCAACGCUUUUCCUCACCGAAAAGUGGCGGGUUACUUGAAAUGCAGGUGCAGCUGGACUUUUCUCUGAGCUAUAAGCAUAUCUAUUUAGUCUGCCUAAAAAACAGAUUAUUACCUUUGCUGCAGCUAACAUAAAGGAGAUUAGUUCUUGUGCUGACUGAUGCAGGAUUCACAAAGACAGGCUUCGGCCGACUUUGUAAACUCGAUCUCAAAUCAAGUAAGACUACCCGCUGAACUUAAGCAUAUCAAUAAGCGGAGGA